Molecule: long non-coding RNA, 19079 nt
Filed under: Capsicum annuum
Lineage: Eukaryota; Viridiplantae; Streptophyta; Magnoliopsida; Solanales; Solanaceae
Description: long non-coding RNA (CANN_LNC019049)
Source: RNAcentral
UUCAAGACUCUGGACUGAACCUGCAAAGCUGCAGAAUAUUCUCAAGCAUAAAGGAGCUCUCCUUUAGAAAAGGAAUCAAAAGUGUAGUCAAAGCUUGGGCCUUCUUGUGAACGUCAGAUGGACAACGACAAAAGGCAGGUAAUAGUCCCCAACACCCACGGGCAUAAGCCUGUAGUUCUUCUUGAAUUACUGAUUUUUUAACUUGCAAAAAGAACAAAUUUAAUUCCAGAUGUAGGUAAAGCAACUUUUUGGAUGCAACUCUCAAGUCUAAAACAGGAAACUGAGAUUUAUCCUGACUCCACUCUUCCCGAUCAGAGAAAAGAUAGUGAUACUUCGCUAUUUAAUUGCCAUAGAAAGAGUUACUAUUUAUCCUAUAACCAUGCUUAUCUGUGAAGUAUUAAAUUGUACCACUGAGUCAAACAUACAAAAGCACAACAACAUAUGCCUACCUUUUGAUGAUGCUUGUUCGAAGGACACAACAAGUGGCACCACAUGCUUCAUAAAGAACCCAAGUGAUGAUCCACAUACAUAUUUAUUUAAAACAGGAAUCAACCAACUGUUUGACAAAGAGUAAUCCUUCAUAUUCAGGAAAACUGUUUCUCUGGUCCCAUAGCAAUAACAGCUGAUCCCAUGCACUCCUGAAGCUGCGUAGAAAACAAAGAAAGGGAAAGUAAUUACAAAAGUUUUAGGUUCAUAACGUUUUUGAACAACAACUGUAUUUAAAAGAUAAGAAAAUCAUUCUUACUAAUAAACCAAAAAAAUAAAGUUCCUAACAUAAUAAAGUGAAUAAAUGAGCUUCUUGAAACAUAAGACUUACAUUUUUUGUAUCAUAAGCACCCCCAGAAGCAACAAUCAUCCAAUCAGCAACUUUAAGUAUUAUACCCUUCACACAGAAGUCCAAGACCUCACCUAAAGACAUAAGAUGCAAAUACAGUAAGAACAAAGAACUGUGAAAGAGAAAAUUGCAAGGGAAGUAGUGACUAUUGAAAGCUCUAUCGCGGGUUGUCAAUGUCUACCUACCCAAUUUAAGGAACAUAACGAAGAGGAUUGCCAAUAUAUGGUCAUUUGGGUAUUCAGAAGAGCUGAGAAGCAUGUAUUCAAAGACUAAACAAGUAGCUUUAACUGCUUCAAAUUCAGAAGAACUGAGAGCCUCAUCAUCCACUGUCUGCUUUUUACCGGUCAAAAACUUUUUCCCGUCAAUACGACCAUUAAUCAAUUCUUUCAAAAUAUGACCACAAUCUUGGGUCUUUUCACAGGUAGUUGGUUUUGGCUCUGACAUUUGGUUUUCAUCAUAGGCGGUUUCACAGCAACAACUACAUCCCCUAUUGUAGAAUUUAUAAAUAUUAUCUCUAGCAAUGUAAAUAGCCAACAAUCACUAUCAUAUGUAAAUGUGAGCAUCCGGUAGUACGUUAUUUCCAUGAUUGUAUAAAACAUACAUUUGAACCCAUUUUCAUCAAUUGAUACAAGUUAAAAUAAUUUCAAAACAAAUGGUAACAAGUUGCGAAGGAGAAACAGUGAAGUAUAAAAUUAACAAACCCAGAAUUUUUUUUCUUUACAUAUCAUUAAGUUUACCUUUUUCGUUGAUCUUUACAUGACUUUUGAACAUGAAGAUGGAAAAAAAUUUCUUUCAUGAAGUAUCUUUGAAGGGCACGAUCGGAGUCCAGAAAUAAGAAAUAACCACAUAAAAAUUUAAGGUGGAGAGAAUAAAAAUACGAAAGAACCAAAAUAAAAUUAAAAGUUUAGAGAUUCAGAUCUGCAUGAAAAUAUAAAUCAAAACUGUACAAAAUAAAGGAAAAGCAUGCAAUUUCUACGCAAGAAGAGAUAUUUCAACUUUUUUCCUAAUUUGGACGCAAGAGCAGAGAAACAGCUAGGAGAAGAUGAGAGAAAUACCACUAAAUUUUUCAAUGGCAUAGCUGAAGCUCGUAAUAGCUGUUCGAUUCACCAUGAUGAAGUCUCCGUGGUGUAGCUGAAGCUGAGAAAACCUGACCAAAAAUAGCUACAUGAAGCAGCGUUGAAUAUCUUCCAGAGAAAAGAGAUAUAUCCGAAGAGUGAAGAUUGAAUGAAUAUGAUUAUGGAGAUGAUCAGAGUGUGCUGGAACUUUUUUACCAAAGGGCGAAAUGACCAUUAUGCCCUUGGUCGUCCCUCGCUUGGCCCUUCUAUACGUAGUAAUAGUAACAGUAAUAAUAUAUAUAUAAUUACGGUUGCAAACCAAAAAAAAAUAGUUGGUAGGCAUUCCAACUCAUUUUUCCUUUUACUUUUACUCCACCAAACUAAAAGGAGAAGAAUGAUGACGGCAGUAUGGACAACAAUGAUAGAGAUCAUCUUGCAGUAUACGGGGUUAUGGCCGACAACGUUCUUCACCCUUGUAGCAUUGAUGGUUGUAACUUACAAAGUUAUUUAUGGCAUUUGAUGACUUUGUUCCAUCAAAAGACCGUCUCUCCACCUCGACGACAUGACGGAAGAGGAACUUAGAGCUUAUAAUGGCUCUGACCCAAAAAAAUCAUUGUUGAUGGCUAUCAAAGGAAAGAUCUACGAUGUCUCUACCUCCAAGUUAGUUUCUCUCUCUCGCAGAAAAAAUAUUGAAUUUUUUUUUUGGGGAAAGAAGAGCUUAUUUACUUUGAUUUGAUUAAUUGUAUACCUUAUGAAUUUGAUGAUUUGAGCUAGGGCAAGACAUGAUAUAGAAGCUAUAGGAAUCUGAGUUCGUACCCAAAUCCAAUUCGCUAGCUCAAAUGCUCAAGAACAUCAUAUUAAAGCCAAAUGUACAGGAUAGGGACUUAUUUACAAGGUAUCAUUAGGGAAACUAUAUGCACUAUAACUAAGCAUCAACCUACUUAUAUAUUUUUCCAUUAAAUUUUUUAUUCUUCAUGACCCAAAGACUUACAACAGGGAAAGUUACAAAUACACAAAUUCCUAGCAUUUCUAAGGAAAAUAUCCUUUGAUGAUUAACACUCCAGAUCCUCCGAAGGAUUUCACGAAUCACAAUGCAAAAAAUAGUGUAACUGACUAAAAUCUUUAAUUUUGAACUGCUAGGACAGUAAGAAAGACUGCAAAAACAUCAUUUCUAGCUGCUAACUAGUCUCCUUAGUCAUUCUUCUCAUAAAAGAAACUAGUCAUAGCUUUGCAUACCUCUGUGUUAAGACUUGCUAAAGCCCAUAAAAAAAUUCUGUUAAUUUGCAAAGUAAGAAAGGGUGUGUAACACCCCAACUUGGGAUAAGGAGUCCCACAUCGGCAAAGCAAAGUAAGAAAGGGUAUAUAACACCCCAACUUGGAAUAAAGAGUCCUACAUCGGCAAAACAUAAGGGGGAUGCUAGGUAUAUAAGUAAGCAAGUCUUACUCCAUAGUGACACGUUUUAAAGCCGUGUGGGCCUGGGCCCAGAGUGGAUAACAUCACUAGUGGGUUAGGGAGUUACAGGGGUUUCUCGGGCCUUGAUGGUUCGGGAUUCUCAUCACGACCAGGGCCUCGGCUCGGGUCAUGACAAAAAUGGUAGCAGAGCCAGGUUUUUUAUGUUCAUAUUUGACCUGCUAACAAUUUAAACAACUAGUGACAUGUUUCAAAAUAUCAACUUUCAUACCUUUCCACCAGUACAACACGUGCAAGUCUUGAUACAUUUUCGUAGCACCAGGGUGGAUAGAGUUUCGCAAGUUGUGAGCCUCCUCAAGAAUCAGUUGCCUCACAUCACCCACAAUGGGAACACACAAUCUUCCAUGAAGAUGUAACACACCUUCACCAUCAAUAGUGAAAGACUUAACACCACCAUUCUGUACUCGAUCUCGAAUCCCAACAAGAUAGGGAUCAUUAUAUUAACAAGUCUUAACUUGCCCAACUAAGGACGACUGAACCACCAUAACUGCAAGUAACUUGCCAGGCACCGUGUGAUCAAUUCGAACUCCAUGAUUUACUAAAGACUCGAUAUCCAUAACCAAAGUUCGUCUUUCAUCAGUAAAUCGGGCCAAGCUGCCCAUAGCCUUUCUACUCAAAGCAUCUGCUACUAUAUUUGCCUUUCCAAGAUGAUACAAGAUAAUGAGAUCAUAAUCUUUAAGUAACUUUAACCACCGUCAUUGUCUCAAAUUCAGAUCUCUUUGCUUGAAUAAGUAUUGCAGACUCUUGUGAUCAGUAUAGAUUUCGCACAACUCAUCAUAAAGAUAAUGGUGGUAGAUCUUGAGUGCAAAUACAACCUCAGGCAAUUCCAAGUCGUGAGUUGGAUAAUUUUUCUCAUGGACCUUUAGCUGUCGAGAAGUAUACGCCACCAAUUUACCAUUCUGCAUUUAAACACAACCCAAUCCAAUUCGAGAUGCAUCACAAUAAAUAGUGAAACCACUUUUUGCCGUAGGUAAAGUCAAAAUUGGAGCCGAAAUCAAUGCCUUCUUUAAUUUAUGAAAACUUUUCUCACAGUCACCCGGCCAUCGAAAAACCACACCCUUUUGAGUUAAGCAUGUCAAUGGAGCAACUACCUUUGAGAAGCCCUCUACAAACCUCUUAUAAUAAUUAGCUGAACCUAAAAAGCUAUGUAUCUCUGUAACAAACAGUACUAGGUCGAGGCCAAUCUCGGACUACUUCAAUAUUUUUUGGAUUAACAUGAAUCCCAUCUCUUGACACCACAUGCCCUAAAAAGGAAAUCGUGCCCAAACAAAACUCACACUUUGAGAACUUGGCAUAAAGCUUGUGUUUUCUAAGUGUCUGCAGCGUAACUCUCAAGUGUUGUUCAUGUUCUACCUCACUCUGAGAGUAAACCAAAAUGUCAUCAAUGAACAUAAUAAAAAAUUGGUCUAAAUACUGUUUGAAUACCCUAUUCAUGAGGUCUGUAAAUGUUAUAGGUGCAUUAGUCAGUCCAAAAGACAUCACUAAAAAUUCAAAAUGUCCAUACCUGGUGAGAAAAGCCGUCUUAGUGAUAUCUUCGGCCUUGACUCUCAGUUGAUGAUAACCCGAUCUCAAGUCAAUUUUAGAAAAGUGAGUAGCACACUGUAACUGAUCGAAUAGAUCAUUAAUUUAGGGCAAGGGAUACUUAUUCUUGAUUGUCACCUUAUUUAACUGCCUAUAGUCAAUGCACAUUCUCAUCGUUCCAACUUUUUUUUCACAAAUAACACAGGUGCACCCCAAGGUGAUACACUAGGCCUGAUGAAUCCCUUAUCAAAUAACUCCUUGAGUUGAACCUUCAAUUCCCUUAACUCAGCAGGAGCCAUACCGUAAGGUGGAAUAAAGAUAGGUUGAGUCCCUGGCACUAACUCAAUGCUGAGCUCAAUUUUUCUUAUCAGAGGUAACCGGGCAAAUCAUCUGGUAACACAUCAAUAAACUCCCCAAAAAAAGGAACAUUAUUUAUAAAACUUCCUCUACUCGAGUGUUAUGAACGGUAGCAAUAAAACCCAAACAACCAUGAUUAAUCAUUUAUUAGGCUUUUACAUAGGAUAUUAUCUUCUCUUGAGUCACAUGAAUUAUACCUUCCCAUACUAAAGGUGGUUCUCCAGGAAUAUCAAAAUGUAUAAGCUUAGCAUAACAAUCAACCAAAGCAUAACAUGAUGACAACCAAUCCAUACCCAUGAUCACAUCAAAAUCAGUCAUUGGCAACAUAAGUAGAUCAACUAUGGUGUCCUUACCCUGAACAAAUAUCACACAAUCUCUAUACACUCUAUCCACUGAUAAGGUCUCCCCCACUAGGGUCGUAAUAAUAUAUGGAUCAAUAAGAGUCUCAAUCCUUCUCUCUAAGAAUAAAGCAAAAGAUAGGGACACAUACGAGUACGUUGAACCAGAAUCAAUAAGAGAAUAAGCCUCAUGAGAGUUUAUAGUGAUAAUACCUGUGACCACCGCAUUAGAUGCCUCGAUGUCCUGUCUAGCCAUAACAAACAAUCUCAGUGGUCCACCUGCUAUUUAAGAACCCUGAGCACUCUGUCGAUCCUAUCCACGAGCACCCUGUGGAGCUACCCUAGCUGGCUGAGUAUGAGCAUGAGCUCCUUCAAUAUCUCUCUAUAUUUGUGCAGUAGUUUGACUAAAACUAGAAUUUCCCUUAGGAUAAAACUUAGCAAUAUGCCCUCUUUCAUCACAAUAUAACAAGGACCACUAACUCCAAAACAAUGCCUACCAUGAUUUAUAUCACAAUUAGAACAUUUUGGAUGUUGUCCGGACUGAGAAGAAUUGUUAGUCUUUUACUGCAUUUGUUGCGGACCUUGUCUAGCUGGAUAACUAUUCCUUGAAGGUUGGCCCACUGACUCUGACUGCGUAAGCCUAGAUUGUCCAGGAUCAAAACCACUCUUGCUCCUAGACGGAGCACCACUAAGCCCACCUAAGUUACGUGUCUUCUUGUUUUCUCGAUUAAUCAUUUCCAUCUCAUAAUAGGACUCAGAACGGAGAGCAUGUUAACCAUAUCAGAAUAGGAUCCAUUACGUAUAUCCUGUAUCAUUGGACCAUGAUAACGAGCCUCAAGUCUAUCUCGUCUUACUUUAUCCCUCUAAUCUGCAACUAAAUAUAGAAUAUACCUGGACAACUUAGUAAACUUAACUUCGUACUUAGUGACUGUCAUAGAUCCCUAUCAUAAAUCAUUAAACUGGCGCCUUAUGUCAUCUUGUUUGCUCAGUGGAAUAAAUCUGUCCAUAAACAUAGCUAAAAACUCUGACCAAGUGAUUGGUGGUAGCCCUGCUUGUCUGCCCCUCAAAACAGAAGUCCACCAAGCCUCGGGAGACCCUGAGAACAGAAAAGUGGUAAAUUCUACACCGCGAGUCUCCUUUAAUCCCAAGGUAGACAAUAUCUUCUCACAGUAUUCUAAAAACUUUUGAGACUCAACAGAAGAUGGUGUAGCAUCAAACUCUAAUGGCUUAAGAUCCAUGAAAUUCUUAAGAUCCUUGGGUUGACCUACAACUGCAACCAAAUGACCAACUAUUUGAGGUGCUUGAGAAGUCGCAACAUUUAACUGAACUUGUGCCUGUGUUUGGGAAGUAGCCCGAGGAGCUGGAGCUCGACCUUGAUUAGGCACCAAUGCCUCAAGUACAUUCAACAUUCUUACCACUAUGUCUGCAGGCAAUGCAAUAGUUUAUAUAGCAACUGGCACUGCAGCUUGAGUAUCUCGAUCAACCCGAUCCUGCACUUGCUCAGAAGCCACAACUUGGGGUUGUCCCCCAUUCCCAACUCCAGGCUGAGCACCGGUCUGCAUCCUAGUUCGAGGCCUAGUUAGAUGAGACCCAACUCUACCACCACCACGAGUAGAAUCUUGCCCAGCACCACACCUAACAGGUGUAUUAGAUCGACUAGCGAAAGAAGAACCACGUCUCUUAACCAUCUGCGAAACAAUAUUUAAUGGUUAGACUUAAUUCAACUCAACCCAAGAAUAAUGAAUAAAAAGGGGAAAACUUCCUAGAUGUUUUAUAGCCUCAAGUUUAUAGUAUGGGCGCCUAUAUACUCCUGAACAAGAUUCUACUAAACACUACUCCAUUACCCGGGACCUAAAUCCUAGGCUCUGAUACCAACUUUGUCACAUCUCAAAAUAAACCCUAGGCGUGACUGGCUCCCAGUAACACCACUUGCUGGGAGAACCAAUUUUCUUUACAUUCACAAUGCUUACAAACACUGAGAUAAAGACAUAUACAACUCCACAUGCACAAAAUAAUAAUUAAUGCAGUAAUUAUCCAACAAGAUACCACAUAGCGAUUUAUAAAAGCGAUAAUAGUUUAGAUAACAAAUCUCUAACCCAAGUUGCACACUAAGUUCACGGAGCAUCUAAACAGAGUUAAAUAAGUUCAGCUUUUGGGCAUGUAAACCCAAGAAAGAGAAAUAUAAGCUAAAAAUAAUUAAAGAUAAAUGACAUCCUUCACAAACAAUGCGGAGGCUCACCUCAGCGGCAGAAUCCAUAUGUAAAGACAGUCAACCACGAGUCUCUCCCUCCACAACCAGUAUCUACAGAUAUGCAAGUAAGGAGUGAGCUAUAUAUAAAUAUAAUCCAGUAAGAUCCUCGACCCGCUACUUUAAUACCCCUGGAACAAGUGUUAGAAAAUACAAGGUACAACAAAAUACACAAAUAAUAUGUAUAUAAUAUCUCUCAUAAGGUAAUAUUAAUAAGGUCUAAAUGGAAGUUCAAAAAUGCCACUUUAUAUCUCAACUCAAUCCACUCUCAUGACUUGUAAUACACGGUAGUGAAGGUGAUCGUCCUAGCACCCUGAUAAGUGCACGACAACAUAUAUAAUGCCCUAAAAGUCUACUACGGCAACAUGUACAAACCCCUAACAUAUUACGGCAACAUAAGUAAUGCUCGUAACGCAUUACGACAGCUAUGUAUGACCCUAGAGACUAUAACAGUAGUGGAAAAAAUAUAUUCAACGCCCCAACCUCACCUCACAUUUCACCUCUAAAUAAUUCUUAAUAAACUUCACAAAAUACAUAUCCACAACUAGUCAAAGUCCAUAAAUUCUACCAAGUUCACUCUUGUCCCAACGCAUGGACUAGGCAGAAAAAUAUAAUUUUUAAUAAAGCAGAUUUGAAAAGAAAGAAUCAAAGCUUAAAGUUUCAUUUACCUUGCUAACGACAAUUUCCCCAACUUUGCAAUGUGUAGGACAUCAACCAAACAAUGAUCAAUCGGACCAAUCUAAACAAAAUAUUAAAUAACAAUAUUAAUUAUGCUAUUUUGGGAUUAAGUCUCAAUAUCCCUAACCUUUAAACUUAGAGUUAUACCUUAAAAUCUCACAUCGUAUACAUUGAAUUAACGAUGAUAAUAUUUCAAUACAACUAUCCGAACAUGAUACCAAUGGUAAGGAAAAGAAAAUUUCCAAACAAACUUUAGCUUUGCUUACUGCUAGUUACUCCCAACAUUGAAAAUCAUUGUUUUCUCAUGCUAAUGAACCCAAAGUUAAUUGCUAAUUCAAUUCCUCUUUGGGUGAUCACGACUGAAGUAAUACAACCUUCAUUAUAGACCAAUCACAAACCUUAACUAUUUAUAUUCUAUCGCUAACAUCAUGAGCAAACAUCUGCACUAUUGUACGCAUAUUCGAUUCCCAUGACAAAGAACAAUGAAAAAAAAAAGAUAGUCCAUGUCUUACAGAGAAGUUUCAACCACUUCUAUUUCUCCAAUUUAUAUUUUUUUCCUAUGCUGCUUACUGUUCUCUUCCCAGAAUAAUGGGAUUAAAAACUGGCCCUAAUGUUCUAUUUAUGCUGAUCUUAACGUGAAACUGAAAAAGGCUUUUGGCUUGUCCCCUUUUAAUUCCUUAAUUACUAUUACUAAUUGGUUAUAAUUACCAAUUAACCCUUAAUUAAAAGGAAAUAAUAAGUUGGGGUAUUACAAUCUCCCCCACUUAAAUAACGUUCGUCCUAGUGUUUUAGAUGGAGAAAGGCAACGAAGCCCCGCCUCGCCACGCGGUAAGGCGAGCGGCGAGGCGAUCGCCUUUUAAAUGUGCAGCGAUAAUUAAUACAAAAAAUUAAAAUAAUAUAUAAAUGAUCAAAAUUUUAAUAGCACUAAUACAUUAGGAAAUAUUUCAAGUCAAUAAAUAUUUCAGUGCUUACUGCUUAUAGCUUACUGUUAGUCUGUUAUAGUGAAUCAGUGACAGUGUGUUAUAACACUGUAUUACUAUUAUAGAAUAGAAAAACAGAAAAAGUGAGGGAAAAAAACAGCAUGCCAAUGUUCAGCCACCGGAUUAAGAAAGAGAAGAAAAAAGAAGAAAAAAAAUGGAAAUCAAGACUUACCGGAGUAGGAGGAGUCACUGGAGUAGCGUCGUCGGUCGCCGGAGUUGAAGUCAAACUUGUGAGUUGUGAGUAGGUAGCAGCCGCAGUUGCCAAUGAGUAAGUUGGUAUAGCCAAAAUAUGAAAAUAAGCCCUAAAUUAACUUUUAACCCUAAAACCCUAAACUUUUUUACAAAAAUUAAAAGGCGACGCUAUUGUCACCUCGCCUUGUUGCCUUUCUCAAAAAAGUGUCGCCUUUCUCGAAAAAGCAUCGCCUUUCUCAAAAAAGCAUCGCCUUUUGGAUUUUUCCUCACCACAAUGACAAGAGGCGACUAUGACUCGCCUUGUCUCGCCAUUCGACAUUGGCGACGUGGCGAGCGCCUUCACAACAUUGGUUCAUCCUCGAACGGGUCGAGAAUCAUACCGGAAAUGUCAAAUAAGUAAGUAUAUCUAACUCGCAUCUCCUCUUCGAACUCUAAGUAGCUUCCUCGAUUGGAUGAUUACGUCAUAAUACCUUGACUGAAGCUAUCUUUUUUCACCUUAACCAUUGCACUUGCCUAUCAAGAAUAACUAUCGGGUUUUCCUCAUAAGUCAGAUUCUCAUCAUGCUCUACAUCCUCUGGCUGGAUCUUAUGGCUAUCAUCACAAACAUACCAUCUAAGCAUAGACACGUGAAACAAAGGAUAAACUGCAGACAAUCUCGGAGGUAAAGUAAGCCUAUAUGCCACCAAUCCAAUUCGGUCCAAAAUCUCAUAAGGACCAAUGUAUCUAGGACUUAGCUUACCUUUCUGACCAAAUCUCAUAACUCCUUUCAUGGGAGAAACUUUCAAAAAAACUUUUUCCCCUUUUUUAAACUCCAAAUCACAAACCUUUUUAUUUGCAUAGGACUUCUACCUGCUUUGUGAUGUCUUAAGUCGGUCCCGUAUCACUGCAACCUUCUCCAAUACUUGCUAAACUAAAUCUGAACCUAAUAAAUGUACUUCGCCUGGCUCAAAACACUUGCGACCAUAUAAAGCCUCAGAUGGUGCCAUUUGAAUGUUUAAUUGAUAGCUAUUAUUAUAAGCAAACUCUGCCAAAGGCAGAUGAUCAUCCCAAUGGCCACCAAAAUCAAUUGUGCAAGCUCUAAGUAUGUCCUCCAAGAUCUGAAUAACUCGCUCAGACUGCCAGUCUGCGGAUGAAAAGCUAUACUGAACUCAACUUGCAAACCCAAUGAUUUCUGAAAAGAUCUCCAGAACUCAGCAGUAAGCUAUGCACCUCGAUCAGAUAUGAUUGAGAUUGGCACACCAUGAAGCCGAACUAUCUCCUGAAGGUAAAUUUUUGCUAACUGCUUUAGGCUAUAAGUAACUCGAACUGGUAUGAAAUGGGCAAAUUUUGUAAGUCUAUCCACUAUCACCAAAAUCAAGUCGUUUUUCCUGAAAGUAUUUGGUAACCCAACAAUGAAAUCCAUAGUAAUCCUUUCCCACUUCCACUCUAGAAUAAUCAAUUUUUGCAUUGUUCCACCUGAUUUGCUCCUGUGUCAGCCUUGUUGAUGUGGGCUAGAGUUUAAACUGAGUGUAGGAGAUUCCCAGUUAGGCUGGAGAAACCUCAGUCCUGAGUCUAGGAAAAUCUCAUCCGGUGGGGUAAACCUCAGCGAGGAUACUGAGUCCAUAAGUGGGUGUAUGUAAGACCCCAACUUGAGAUAAGGAGUCCUACAUCAGUAAAACAUAAGAGGGAUGCUGGGUAUAUAAGUAAGCAAGCCUUACUCCUUAGUGAUGCGUUUUAAAGCUGUGUGGGCUUGGGCCCAGAGCAGACAAUAUCACUAGUGGGUUAGGGAGUUAUAGGGGUCUCUCGGGCCUUAAUGGUUUGGGAUGCCCUUCACGGCCAGGGCCCCAGCUUGGGUCGUUACAAGGUGAAAAUCAGCCCGACCUAGUAGAAGUCUCAUGUAUGCUUAACCAUCAAGGCACCAUGUAAAAAGUAUAGUUGUAUCAAGUUGAAAACCAUGGCAAAUAUAUUCUUUCUAUAACUUCAUGUAUUAUCAAAAACUCAUUUAAGGUGCACUGAAAAACUCACACUUUAUGGAACUAUACUGGGUGACUUUGAUGAAUUUAGUAUUACUGCUCUUGAGAAUCAGCUUGCUACUUGUGUUGUUAAUAUUUGUGAUGCUGAUGAAAGACUCCAAUCCAAAUGGAUUGUUGUGAUCUUUCAAAGAAAAUUAGUUUAAACAAACAAGAAUUUAAAGUUUUUUUGAUUAGUGAAACGAGAUUCAAUUCUUCCUGUUGCCGAUGGAAGAACUUUCAACAAUGACAUUUACCAAGAAUGACAUGUGGAAUAGAAGAAAUGAUGGUCUUCUAGCAAUUCUUGGUGCCUUAUCUAUAAUCUAUAAUAUAUUAAAAGUGUGAAGGGCCUUAAAAAUAUUGUUUGAACUUUUUGUCCUUCAUUAAAAGUCUUUAUUUUAGACAAAAUCAUCUUUUUACUAUUUUUUCCUAAUAUUUAAGAGUUGAAAAUUAACUAAAUAUAUUUAUGGUAAAACCUUUCCUUAUUAAAAGUCAUUAGAAUUAAUGGCAACUAAUACUUUUCAAUUAGUUUAAGAAUUCUAAAUUAAUUAAAUUUGAUUUUAAAAAUAUUUUAAUAAUCUAAAAAUAAAUAAAAAAAUGUUAGAAUAAGAAAAUUUAAGAAUGUAAUCGAAAGAAGAAAAAAAUUUAAAUAUAGAAAAGAAAAGAAAUAAUCGUACUACAAAUAUGGUUUAAAUUGAUGCAUCUCUCUUAGCCUCUAGCAGCAAGGGAAAAGGAAAAGAGAUACUGCAUGACAAACGUAAAAGUGAUGAUCCAUCAACCACUUGAAACUUCUGGUGGUAAAAUAUAUAUGUGCCUUACACUAAAAUAUAUGUUUAUGUUUACAUAUUUUUUUUAUAUAGAAAGGUGAGUUGAAUUACGACCAAGGGUAUUAUUGUAAUUUCACAACUAAUAUAAUGGCAUUUUAGACAUUUUGUGCAUCUAUAAUUAUAUAUAAACAUCUAGACAACUAUGAUCUAUGGCCAGAGAUGCAUCUAGGAUUUCAAACUUGUGGGUUUCCAGUAAAAUAAAUUAAUAUGUAAUAAUAUAAUAAAAAAGACAACACUCUAGUGGGGAUCGAUCCCAUGGUCAUGGAAAUAAGCAAUUCAAGGGUCCAUUCCAUGCCAUUAAGCCAACAUUCUUUUUGUUUAUGGGUUCCCAUCUAUAACAUUUUAUUUACUUAUUCUAUUUUUUAUUAUAUUUACCAAAUCUACGGUAGCGAGUAGGGGUUCUUGAGAACCCCUACACAACACUGUAGAUCCGCCCGUCUAUGGCUGUUCUUUUUCUUCUGCAUCUCUUUUGUUCGAUCAGCUCCUCCAUGGCUGCACUUCAAAUUUAACUUAGUUACUCAAGUAUUAUUUAUGUUUAACCUGCGACAUCAGCGUUCUUCUGCUAAUUUUUUAUUUUCCCUUCCUUCCUAUUUUUGGUGAUGUUGGCAAUUCUUUUGAGGUCCAUUUUUAGUUUACUACUCUAACAAUGCCCUAAAUUCAAUCUGCAAAACCCAAUGAACUAUAGUUUUCUUCCAACUUUUUUAACUAUAGUUUUCUUCUAGUUUUUCUAGAGGGUUAACAGAUAACCUGAUAAGCUUUAUUAGAAUAAAUUUUUCCAUGUAAUCAUUAGUGAAUAUUUUCAAAUAAUCUAAUCAGACAUAGCUUUUUAUUUAUGUAAUCUACCAUAAAGAGCCUCUUUUAAUGAUUAGUUAGUACAUCUAACAUCUAGAAACCAAUAAACUUUGAUAUUUUGUAACCACUAUCUAUAAUUGAUAUGUAAGUUUCACAAUGUGAUCUACGAUUAACUUAAUGUCAGUUUAUCACACAAACUAGAUAUAUUGUACAACAGGCUUGGACUUCUCUUUUGCAAUAACCUAUUAAUUCAUACAAACACUAGAGGUAGAUUAUAGAUAAUUAUAUAAAGAAAGGUUUGGGUAUAAUAAAUUCAUUUUACUUAAUGCUUGACAUGAGGAAAAGUGAGGCUAGAGGCAAUACUAAUUUAUAAGCUGCAAACUUUGAACAUUUACUUAGAAUAUAAUGCUUGGUUUCUUUUUUCCUUUUUAGUUAUCUUCUAUUCAAGUACUUCACUUAGUUAAUCUAUGAACACAAAUUUGGUGAUCUUUUUGAUAAGAAGUGAGAAGACUAAAAGCCUAUUUGAUUUAGAUUGUGAUCAAACUUAUUUAGUAGCUUUCGUGUCAAAUGCCUUGUAAGGGGAAACUAUGCAAUCAACUUGGACCAUUAAUUCAAACAAGUUAGUGUAGUUUAUUAAAGGCAGAAUUGUAAUUUCUAGAUACUUACUUCAAGGAGGCUAAGAUAGCAGUCACUACUGCUAAGUCAGCAGCGUUUAAGAGUUUGUAUAAGGGGUUAGACGAGAAAGGUGGGGAGAAAAGGUUGUUUAGGCUUGACAAGGUUUGGGAGCAGAAGGGUCGUGAUCUGGACCAGGUAAAGUGCAUUAAGGGGGAGGAUGACAGAGUUUUGGUGAAAGACACCCUCAUUAAGAAAAGAUGGCAGUCAUAUUUUCAUAAGCUCUUGAAUGAUAGGGGGACAGAGGUAUUGUGUUACGGGAGUUGGAGCAUUUUAGAGAGUGUCACGACUUUGUCUUUAGUCGACAUUUUAAGGUAGAAGAGGUCAGUGAGUCUAUUUGCAAGAUGCGAAGGGGCAGGUGAUGGGUCCCGAUGAGAUUUUGGUAGAUUUUUUGAAAUUCUCUAGCAAGUCCGGGUUGAGGUGGCUGACCAACUUGUUUAACAAAAUUUUCAAGUUAGCAAAGAUGCUUGAGGCUUGCAGAUAGAGCACGAUGAUUCCUUUAUAUAAGAACAAAGGUAAUAUUCAGAGUUGCAACAACUACCAGAGUAUUAAGUUGUUGAGUCACACGAUUAAGAUUUGGGAGAGGGUGGUGGAGCAGAGGUUGAGGAAAAAUAUGUUUAUUUCAGAGAAUCAACUUGGUUUUAUGCCUGGUCGCUCCACGAAUGAGGUAAUUCACCUUGUACGAAGACUGGUAAAGUAGUAUAGAGAGAGGAAGAGGGACCUUUACAUGGUAUUUAUUGACAUAAAAAAGGCCUAUGACAACAGGAAGGUUCUUUAGAGAUGUUUAGAGGUGAGGGAGGUCUCGGUAGCGUACACCAGAGAGAUUAAAGACAUAUAUGAGGGAGCGAAGAGUCAGGUAAGGACAGUGGAAAGAGAUUCAGAGCAUUUUUCAAUAUUGAUAGGGUUACAUCAGUGAUCAAAUCUUAGUCCAUUUUAUUCACUUUGGUGAUGGAUGUUCUGACAUGGAAUAUACAAGGCAAGGUGCCUUGGUGUAUACUUUUCGCGGAUGAUAUAGUUUUUCUUGAUGAGUCACAACAAGGAGUUAAUGAUAAGUUGGAGGUUUGGAGACAAACCCUGGAGGAUAAAGGUUUCAGAUUGAGUAGGACCAAGACAGAGUACUUGGAGUGCAAUUUUAAUGACUCGAGGCAAGAGGAGGAGGUGGUAGUGAAGUUAGAUUCUCAGGUGGUUUAUAAGAGGAAGAGUUUUAAGUAUCUCGGGUCUACAAUUUAGGGAAAUAGGGAGAUAGAUGAGGAUGUAUCUCACCGUAUUGGGGCAGGUUGGAUGAAAUGGAGGCUCACUUUAGGAAUUUUAUGAGAUAAGAAGAUGCCCCCAAGGUAAAAGGAAAAUUCUAUAGAGUUGCAGUCCGGCCUACUAUAUUGUAUGGAGCGGAGUGUUGGCCAGUUAAGAAUUCUCAUAUCCAAAAAUUGAAGGUGGCGGAAAUGAAGAUUGGAUGUGUGGAUUUACAAGGGCUGAGAGAGUUAGGAAUGAAAUUAUUUGAGAGAAGGUGGAAGUGGUGUUAUUGGAGGAUAAAAUGCAGGAAGUGAGGUUGAGAUGGUUUGGUCAUGUGAUGAGGAGGGGCACGAAUGCUCCAGUUCGUAGGUGUGAGAGGUUGGCCUUGGAUGGUUUCAAGCGGGGUAGGGGUAAACUGAAGAAAUACUGGAGAAAAGUGAUUAAACAUGACAUGAAGCAGUUACAGCUGACUGAGGAUAUGACCCUGGAUAGGAAGAUAUGGAGAAUAAGCAUUAGGACAGAGGGCUAAGGGUGUGGAUGAGUAGUAGUCAGUAAUUAAGUGGAUUUCGGUGUCCUUUGUUUGGCAAUGUAAAUUUUUUUUAUGGAUGUCAUACCUAUGUUAUUUUAUCAUGUUCUAUGCUUUGGAUGCUUCUGUAUGCUACCUUUCAUCUUGAGCCGGGGGUCUAUCAGAAACAGCCUCUCUACCUCUUUUGAGGUAGUGGUAUGGACUACGUACACUAUACCCUUCUCAGACCCCACUGUGUGGGAAUAUACUGGGUUUGUUGUUGUUGUUGUUAUUAUUGUCAAUUAUAUGAAAAAAAUUACAACUUAUAUCAGUUGAACCUAUACGAGCUGCCGUUCAUGAACGAUACUCAAGAAAUAGUUAACUGAUGAUCAAUAUCUUAUUUGUUCAUUUUUCGACUUGAACUGAUAACAUUCAAAAUCAAUAUGCUGGACCAAUAACAUUUACGACCGAUAACAAAUCCACUUUGUUUAUACCUCUAGAACCAUCCAUCUUCAGUCGGUCAUACUCCAAGAAAAUACCUCUUUGCUCUCGAUAGUAAAAUAUAUAAAUUCUUCAUAGUCUUCAAAAUAUCAGGUAUAUUUUUCUUCUUCCAAAUUUAUUUCAUCUUUCUUCAAAUACUUGAGUUUUACGACUGAAAUCUAGGGUUGAUGUCGUUAUUGUUCUUCAUAAUUCUCCCUUCUAUUUUUAUGGCCGAUAUGAUGAUCUAGGUUGUCCUCGAAUACAUGUAACCUUUUUUACACAGUUGCAGAUUCAUCCAUAAAGAAAAUAGAUUAUUGGGUUGUGCCAUAAAGAGUUCACAUAGAAAUUCAAUUGUUUUUUUAUAAUUAGGUAUGUCCAUACCGAUUGCUAAAGGUUGUCGAUGAGUUAAUAAAUAUUACAGUUUGAAUUCAGUUAUUUUAUACUCUAGCUCUAUAUUUUUUUUUAUCUCACUCUUUUUCUGUAUUACUGUCUAUGAUAUCGAUAUUUCUUAUAGAUGACAUAGGAUGUUGUUAGGUUUAAAGUAAUUAUGUCCUUCCGACAGAGAUAGAAAUUGAAUUAUUGGGAUCGAUGACUACUGCGCUGAGAGCUUCUCUUCUUCUACUCGCUAUGCGGAAUCUCACACACAUACAUAACUUAUAAAAAUUGUGAGCUUAUUUAUUUGUUUUAUGAUAUUUACUUUUACAUUAAGAAAAUUAUUAUGAUUCCACUACUUUUUGCUAUUACUUGUGCAAAAAAAGAAUGUAAAGAUGAAAUUUGAUUAUAUCCUAAUCAGUUGUGAAAUUUUUUAUUUCUUUUUUGUGGUCAUACACCAUUUUAGACAUAAUAACUUAGAUAACUACUUUAUUACCUUAGCUUCUGCGGUAUAAAAAUAAUUUUGAAAAACAAUCAACUUACUCAUCCAUUUGAAAGUAUUUGGAACUGUGUCUUCAAUAUGUAAUUGAUUUGAUAGACAAAUAAUUCAUUAAGAGUUUGACGCACGUAGCGAAUACCUAGAGGAUCCACUGUUAUCCUACUUAGAACUUAAAUAAGCCCCCAACAAAUUUCACUAAUUCCGACAACUUCGUGAUGGAGGUAAGAGGUUAUAAAACUGUAUAUCAUUAUAAGAACCUUUUUGGUAUAACUUCAUUAUCGUGGCUAAUUUUACAAGUAAUGAAUUUAGUCGUAGAUCGGCCCUCUGUUAGUUGAAGAAGCACCUUCUUAAGAUUUCUUAUAACUUUUAAAGUUGUGAUUUGUGAAUUUGAUAUAUAGUCAUUGGAUGCUUAAAAGGAAAAAACUUCAUAAUAUUCCAUUUGUCUUAUAUUUGUUAAGGUUGUUGCUCUAUGCUUAUAUAUUGUUUUGAUUUAAAAGGAUGACUUUCACUUUACUUUUGAAGAAACUUUAACUGAGCUACCAGAAAAAUGAUAAACACUACCUUGAAAUCUACUGUUAUAGUCAUUUUUAUUUGGUUGAUCAUUUUCGAAUCUUCGAUGAAUUUUUUGUUAAAAAAAAUAGUUAAUAGGACAAAAUGGUUGAUUGUAUCGCAGAUAUUGACCUAGUCUCUUCACAUAUUGAAAAGAAAUCUCCUGAGAAGCUUGAAGUUUCAUUACUUGAAAAACACUUACACUUUUUAUACCUACUUUUCCUUGUAAUAUCUCCUGACUAUUCAAUAAAAAUGACAUCACUCCAUUUUGAGAUUAGUCAACCUGCUAAUCGACUUUUCCAAUAUCUUUCUAAAAUGACUUUUCUUAUGCAUCUUAUUUUCUCAACUAAUAUACUUUAAGAUAAAAAGUUAAUAGAAAAUGAAGAGCACAGUAGAUUUCGCGCGACUCAUGCAAAUAAUUGAUUGUUUAUUACUAGAAUUGUGAAAGAACAUACAAUAAUGUUUCAGUUUCAAACAGAAUAAUGUGCCUAACUUCACCAUUAAGAUCCUAAAACUUGUUUUUGUGAAAUGAAGCCUUCCCUCUUUGAUGUUUUCUUAUUUUGUUUCUUAGAUUUAUGAAAUGCCUAUUGAAUAAGGAUGGUCUCCGAGCCUAUAAAUGCGACCAGAUUUUUAGUAUUAUCAUGAGAUACACACGUAAUAAUAUAUGCAAGAAAAAUAUUCAUUACAACAGUAAAUGUCAAUAGGACCAUGGCCGUUAUGCUCUCCAGUAAGAUAUAAGUUAGCUUGUUGUUCUCUUGAACUGGUGUUGUAGAUACCCUGUAGUUAUUGUUGAGCACUGUUGAACACAUUGUUGCUAUUGUAUCUUAAAUGUUAUUGGACACAUUUUUUUGUUGCUAUUUUGAAAUGCAGUUGAAGAACUUUUUUUUGUUAUUUUUGUGUGAUGAGUCGUUGUUGUUGCUGAAAUUUGAUGCAAUUAAAAUAAUUUUUUCUUCUCUUUUUUGGAUAUUGAUGAGAUCAUUUUGGAUACUUUAGGUUGAUUCACAUGUUUACUAUAUUUCUAUGGCACUACCAGUUAUCAAGUUACCACAUUACUAAUAACACAUCCUUUUUUUAGUUUAUUAACACAACAAUGUCCAUUACAACCCGAAUGUUGUGAUGUAAGAAAAUACAUGGCUUGAAUAGGAGAGAAGCUAGUUGCAAUUUAAAACUUAGAAUUUUUACACUUUAUUUAUUUUGAGAUAUGGGAUGCUAUUAUUUGAUCACAUUAUUAUAAUACUGACAUUUGAUCACCAAUUCAUAAUUUUACAGGCAUUUAUCAGUCAAAAAAAAGAUUUAUCACAACACAAAAAUUAUGUUAACUUUGGACAAUGUAGAAAUAGAAUAUAAAUGUAUUACUCUCUUUAUGUAAAUGGCUACUUUAUUAUUCAGUAGUAUGAUUCUCAUGGAUGUAUAAAGAACACAUCUGACAACCCUACUAUAUUUAGGUGCGUCAUAUUGUGUACUAAAAUUCCGCAUAUAUAAUAAUAUUC